AUGAACGCUGGCGGCGUGCCUAAUACCUGCCAGUCGAGCGAACAGACGAGGAGCUUGCUCCUCUGACGUUAGCGGCGGACGGGUGAGUAACACGUGGAUAACCUACCUAUAAGACUGGGAUAACUUCGGGAAACCGGAGCUAAUACCGGAUAAUAUAUUGAACCGCAUGGUUCAAUAGUGAAAGACGGUUUUGCUGUCAAUUAUAGAUGGAUCCGCGCCGCAUUAGCUAGUUGGUAAGGUAACGGCUUACCAAGGCAACGAUGCGUAGCCGACCUGAGAGGGUGAUCGGCCACACUGGAACUGAGACACGGUCCAGACUCCUACGGGAGGCAGCAGUAGGGAAUCUUCCGCAAUGGGCGAAAGCUUGACGGAGCAACGCCGCGUGAGUGAUGAAGGUCUUCGGAUCGUAAAACUCUGUUAUUAGGGAAGAACAAAUGUGUAAGUAACUAUGCACGUCUUGACGGUACCUAAUCAGAAAGCCACGGCUAACUACGUG
RNAcentral lists this ribosomal RNA (496 nucleotides) under uncultured bacterium. RNAcentral's name for it is "partial 16S ribosomal RNA". It matches the Rfam family "Bacterial small subunit ribosomal RNA", at positions 29 to 507 of the family's 1533-position model. The record is from RNAcentral.